RNAcentral lists this small RNA (510 nucleotides) under uncultured Entrophospora. RNAcentral's name for it is "SSU rRNA". It matches the Rfam family "Eukaryotic small subunit ribosomal RNA", at positions 569 to 1081 of the family's 1831-position model. The record is from RNAcentral. Lineage: Eukaryota; Fungi; Glomeromycota; Glomeromycetes; Entrophosporales; Entrophosporaceae.
AGCAGCCGCGGUAAUUCCAGCUCCAAUAGCGUAUAUUAAAGUUGUUGCAGUUAAAAAGCUCGUAGUUGAAUUUCGGGAUCAAUUGAUUGGUCAUGCCUACGGUAUGUACUAGUCAUAUUGGUUCUCACCUUCUAAUGAACCUUAAUGUCAUUCACUUGAUGUUUUGGGGAAUUAGGACUGUUACCUUGAAAAAAUUAGAGUGUUUAAAGCAGGCUUACGCUUGAAUACAUUAGCAUGGAAUAAUGAAAUAGGACAUCGCAUUCUAUUUUGUUGGUUUCUAGGAUCGAUGUAAUGAUUAAUAGGGAUAGUUGGGGGCAUUAGUAUUCAAUUGUCAGAGGUGAAAUUCUUGGAUUUAUUGAAGACUAACUACUGCGAAAGCAUUUGCCAAGGAUGUUUUCAUUAAUCAAGAACGAAAGUUAGGGGAUCGAAGACGAUCAGAUACCGUCGUAGUCUUAACCAUAAACUAUGCCGACUAGGGAUCGGAUGGUGUUAAUUUUAAAUGACUCAUUC